This 843-nucleotide long non-coding RNA is filed under the name Felis catus (domestic cat). Its description in RNAcentral is "lncRNA (ENSFCAG00000051983.1)". The record is from RNAcentral. Lineage: Eukaryota; Metazoa; Chordata; Mammalia; Carnivora; Felidae.
AUGCACUGCAGGCUCCCAUUGGACCAUCUGUGUUGGUUUUGUGACAUUUUCCUUAUGACAAAAAUCAUUGCUACCACUUCAAGAUGAAGAGAGAACAGCUUCUCAGCAUCUGGAACUCUGGUCACUAAAAUGUCCUUCAUGAGAAACAACAAGGACACAUUUCAUCCUGACCUCUAUUUUAAGGAUCAGUUAAGAGAUCAAAAACUGAAGGAAACAAAUGAACUCCUAAUGAAUGCAGUUUGAGGAGACUCUUUGUUUACUUUUCAUCCUGAGGUUUCAAGAAGAUUCCUUCAGAACUAAAAGAAAUAAAUUUUGCUCUACAGAGUCUGUAAAGAGAACCUGGUGCUGUGAAUACAGAGGAAGAUACCAUCAUCCAUGUAAUAAAGCUCCCUAUGUAAACAGGAGCAGAUAAACAAAACCUGUAAAUAACUGACCAUAAUAUGCAGUCUCAAUUACAGGGCCCACUAUUUCCAUCUUGAGCACAACUCACAAGAAUAUGAGCCCAUCCAAGGGACUCCAAUAAAGUAAGUGACAACAAAGGAAGACAAAUAACACUCUAAGGCUGACUAUUUUCUCCUGUGAUGUGGUCAAGGCUUUUGGCCACAAGUAGACACUGUGUUCUACUGGAGAAGUUAGCAAAUGUGCUGGCAGGUUGGUUCAUUCAGAUGUCAUCAUCUUCCUUUUUGUAUGUAUCAUGUUUCUGUUUCCAAAAAAGGAGCGGUAAUCUGCACUGAUGGCUGGACUUCCAUCCUCAACAGGAAGUUACCUCCGCUUUUUCCAGGAUGUGGUGAGUCCAGCAGUCUUCAGUUACCACUUGUAGACCUCCAGACCUCUCUGUGGUAA